This 405-nucleotide ribosomal RNA is filed under the name uncultured bacterium. Its description in RNAcentral is "bacterial SSU rRNA". It matches the Rfam family "Bacterial small subunit ribosomal RNA", at positions 355 to 774 of the family's 1533-position model. The record is from RNAcentral.
UUAGGAAUUUUGCGCAAUGGGGGAAACCCUGACGCAGCAACGCCGCGUGGAGGAUGAAGGCUUUCGGGUUGUAAACUCCUUUUAGCAGGGAAGAAAAAAAUGACGGUAUCUGCAGAAAAAGCACCGGCUAACUCUGUGCCAGCAGCCGCGGUAAUACAGAGGGUGCAAGCGUUAUUCGGAAUCACUGGGCGUAAAGAGCUCGUAGGCGGUUAAUUAAGUCAUAUGUGAAAGCCCUGGGCUCAAUCCAGGAAGUGCAUCUGAUACUGAUUGACUGGAGUGCAGGAGAGGAAAGCGGAAUUCCAGGUGUAGAGGUGAAAUUCGUAGAUAUCUGGAGGAACAACAGAAGCGAAGGCGGCUUUCUGGACUGUCACUGACGCUGAGGAGCGAAAGCGUGGGGAGCAAACA